This 752-nucleotide long non-coding RNA is filed under the name Brassica rapa (field mustard). RNAcentral's name for it is "long non-coding RNA (BRAP_LNC006826)". Lineage: Eukaryota; Viridiplantae; Streptophyta; Magnoliopsida; Brassicales; Brassicaceae. The record is from RNAcentral.
AGCCUCUGUUGUUAUUUGAAACCUUUUUGUCCAAUGGGUUAACAUGUUCUAAUCAGUGGUGGAUCUAGAAAAUAUUUUGACUGGGGGCAAAAUUAAUUAGUUAAAUAGUGAUAUUAUAAUAUAUAAAUAUUUUAUAUCUUUUAAAAAAAUUAGAAGAAAACUAAACCAGUAAAAUAAUACAAAUAUUUUUUUUUAAAUAAAAGAACUAUAAUACUAGAACUGUUUGUUAUGAAAACAAAAAUAUUCAAAAGACAAUCGAAUCUGAAUGAUGAAUAAUUAAUGAACAAAAAAAUUAAGAAAAAGCAGGUGAGAAAAAAGAAAAAAAAAAGAGGUGAGAAAUAGGAAGGAGAAUGACAGGCGAAGCCGUGGAGGAAAGAGGAAUCAGAAAAAGUAAGAAAAAUAAAGGGGGCAGAUGGGCUUUAAACUGUGGCCCAGUGGGGGCAUCGUAGUAGAUUUAACCAUAUGAACUGUAAAAUCCUGGAUAUUUCUAAUACAUAUAAAAUUUUGUAUAGUUUUAGUGGGAGCAGCUGCCCCCUCCUUGGACACUGUAGAUCUGCCCCUGGUUCUAAUCAUAUGUAACGUCUGGCGCAAUUAUUAGAGGAUGUGUUUAUGAGCAAUAACAUGCAUGCAGUUUUUGUUUGUAUAUAGUUACUUGAACAAAACACCGGCGAACAAUUUUUUUUUAAUAAUGGAUGAAUAUAUAAGAGUGAUGGAAUAAUUUUGUUAGAGGACUAGAGUAUUUAUUAACCGGC